Molecule: ribosomal RNA, 440 nt
Filed under: uncultured bacterium
Lineage: Bacteria
Description: partial 16S ribosomal RNA
Rfam family: Bacterial small subunit ribosomal RNA
Source: RNAcentral
CCUACGGGGGGCAGCAGUGGGGGAUAUUGCACAAUGGGGGAAACCCUGAUGCAGCGACGCCGCGUGUGGGAAGACGGUCUUCUGGAUUGUAAACCACUUUCCCCAGGGACGAAAAUGACGGUACCUGGGGAGGAAGCUCCGGCUAACUACGUGCCAGCAGCCGCGGUAAUACGUAGGGAGCAAGCGUUGUCCGGAAUUACUGGGGGAAAAGGGAGCGUAGGCGGGGAUGCAAGUUGGGUGUCAAAACUACCGGCUCAACCGAUAGUCGCACUCAAAACUGCAACUCUUGAGUGAAGUAGAGGCAGGCGGAAUUCCUAGUGUAGCGGUGAAAUGCGUAGAUAUUAGGAGGAACACCAGUGGCGAAGGCGGCCUGCUGGGCUUUUACUGACGCUGAGGCUCGAAAGUGUGGGGAGCAAACAGGAUUAGAUACCCCUGUAGUC